GCUCAGGAUGAACGCCGGCGGUGUGCCUAAUACAUGCAAGUCGUACGCACUGGCCCAACUGAUUGAUGGUGCUUGCACCUGAUUGACGAUGGAUCACCAGUGAGUGGCGGACGGGUGAGUAACACGUAGGUAACCUGCCCCGGAGCGGGGGAUAACAUUUGGAAACAGAUGCUAAUACCGCAUAACAACAAAAGCCGCAUGGUUUUUGUUUGAAAGAUGGCUUUGGCUAUCACUCUGGGAUGGACCUGCGGUGCAUUAGCUAGUUGGUAAGGUAACGGCUUACCAAGGCGAUGAUGCAUAGCCGAGUUGAGAGACUGAUCGGCCACAAUGGAACUGAGACACGGUCCAUACUCCUACGGGAGGCAGCAGUAGGGAAUCUUCCACAAUGGGCGCAAGCCUGAUGGAGCAACACCGCGUGAGUGAAGAAGGGUUUCGGCUCGUAAAGCUCUGUUGUUGGAGAAGAACGUGCGUGAGAGUAACUGUUCACGCAGUGACGGUAUCCAACCAGAAAGUCACGGCUAACUACGUGCCAGCAGCCGCGGUAAUACGUAGGUGGCAAGCGUUAUCCGGAUUUAUUGGGCGUAAAGCGAGCGCAGGCGGUUGCUUAGGUCUGAUGUGAAAGCCUUCGGCUUAACCGAAGAAGUGCAUCGGAAACCGGGCGACUUGAGUGCAGAAGAGGACAGUGGAACUCCAUGUGUAGCGGUGGAAUGCGUAGAUAUAUGGAAGAACACCAGUGGCGAAGGCGGCUGUCUGGUCUGCAACUGACGCUGAGGCUCGAAAGCAUGGGUAGCGAACAGGAUUAGAUACCCUGGUAGUCCAUGCCGUAAACGAUGAGUGCUAGGUGUUGGAGGGUUUCCGCCCUUCAGUGCCGGAGCUAACGC
RNAcentral lists this ribosomal RNA (881 nucleotides) under Limosilactobacillus reuteri. Its description in RNAcentral is "bacterial SSU rRNA". It matches the Rfam family "Bacterial small subunit ribosomal RNA", at positions 22 to 858 of the family's 1533-position model. Lineage: Bacteria; Bacillati; Bacillota; Bacilli; Lactobacillales; Lactobacillaceae. The record is from RNAcentral.